Molecule: ribosomal RNA, 479 nt
Filed under: uncultured bacterium
Lineage: Bacteria
Description: bacterial SSU rRNA
Rfam family: Bacterial small subunit ribosomal RNA
Source: RNAcentral
UUUCGCAAUGCCCGAAAGGGUGACGAAGCGACGCCGCGUGGGUGAGGAAGGCCUUCGGGUUGUAAAACCCUGUCAGGAGUUAAGAAAUGUAAGUGCGCUAAUAUCGCAUUUAUUUGACGAAGGCUCCAAAGGAAGCCACGGCUAACUCUGUGCCAGCAGCCGCGGUAAUACAGAGGUGGCAAGCGUUGUUCGGAAUUAUUGGGCGUAAAGAGCACGUAGGUGGAUUUGUAAGUCAGAUGUGAAAGCCUUCUGUUCAACGGGAGAAUUGCAUCUGAAACUACAGGCCUUGAGUAUAGGAGGGGAGAAUGGAACUUCUGGUGGAGCGGUGAAAUGCGUAGAUAUCAGAAGGAACGCCGGCGGCGAAAGCGAUUCUCUGGCCUAUUACUGACACUCAGUGUGCGAAAGCUAGGGGAGCAAACGGGAUUAGAUACCCCGGUAGUCCUAGCCGUAAACGAUGGGCACUAAGUAGAGGGGUUUUA